UCAUCAUCACUGUAAUGGCAUUUUGGUAACCAGUUCAUUUUUCAAAUCCGACACUCAUAAGUGAGAACAUACAGAACCAUGUUCCACAUGUGUAUAUACUUUACAUUAAAAAAAAAAAGGCCAAUGUAAACAGAAUUAUAUCAUUUCAUUUGUGUGCGGGGCAAUGUGCCAAAAUUUUUUUUUUUUUUUCACUUUAUUGAG
This 201-nucleotide unclassified non-coding RNA is filed under the name Hevea brasiliensis (rubber tree). Lineage: Eukaryota; Viridiplantae; Streptophyta; Magnoliopsida; Malpighiales; Euphorbiaceae. The record is from RNAcentral.